This 301-nucleotide ribosomal RNA is filed under the name uncultured bacterium. RNAcentral describes it as "partial 16S ribosomal RNA". It matches the Rfam family "Bacterial small subunit ribosomal RNA", at positions 509 to 807 of the family's 1533-position model. The record is from RNAcentral.
CAGUAGCCGCGGGAAUACGAAGGGUGCAAGCGUUAAUCGGAAUUACUGGGCGUAAAGGGUGCGUAGGCGGUUGUUUAAGUCUGUUGUGAAAUCCCCGAGCUUAACUUGGGAACUGCAUUUGAAACUGGCAAGCUAGAGUCUUGUAGAGGGGGGUAGAAUUCCAGGUGUAGCGGUGAAAUGCGUAGAGAUCUGGAGGAAUACCGGUGGCGAAGGCGGCCCCCUGGACAAAGACUGACGCUCAGGUGCGAAAGCGUGGGGAGCAAACAGGAUUAGAUACCCCUGUAGUCCCUGUCUCUUAUAC